RNAcentral lists this ribosomal RNA (245 nucleotides) under uncultured Papillibacter sp. RNAcentral describes it as "partial 16S ribosomal RNA". It matches the Rfam family "Bacterial small subunit ribosomal RNA", at positions 524 to 768 of the family's 1533-position model. Lineage: Bacteria; Bacillati; Bacillota; Clostridia; Eubacteriales; Oscillospiraceae. The record is from RNAcentral.
UACGUAGGUGGCAAGCGUUGUCCGGAUUUACUGGGUGUAAAGGGCGUGUAGGCGGGAUUGCAAGUCAGAUGUGAAAACUGUCGGCUUAACCGGCAGCCUGCAUUUGAAACUGUGAUUCUUGAGUGAUGGAGAGGCAGGCGGAAUUCCUAGUGUAGCGGUGAAAUGCGUAGAUAUUAGGAGGAACACCAGUGGCGAAGGCGGCCUGCUGGACAUUAACUGACGCUGAGGCGCGAAAGCGUGGGGAG